CUACGUAGGGUGCAAGCGUUAAUCGGAAUUACUGGGCGUAAAGCGUGCGCAGGCGGUUUUGUAAGACAGUGGUGAAAUCCCCGGGCUCAACCUGGGAACUGCCCUUGUGACUGCAAGGCUGGAGUGCGGCAGAGGGGGAUGGAAUUCCGCGUGUAGCAGUGAAAUGCGUAGAUAUGCGGAGGAACACCGAUGGCGAAGGCAAUCCCCUGGGCCUGCACUGACGCUCAUGCACGAAAGCGUGGGGAGCAAACAGGAUUAGAUACCCUGGUAGUCCACGCCCUAAACGAUGUCAACUGGUUGUUGGGGAUUUAUUUUCUCAGUAAGGAAGCUAACGCGUGAAGUUGACCGCCUGGGGAGUACGGCCGCAAGGUUAAAACUCAAAUGAAUUGGCGGGG
Molecule: ribosomal RNA, 395 nt
Filed under: uncultured bacterium
Lineage: Bacteria
Description: partial 16S ribosomal RNA
Rfam family: Bacterial small subunit ribosomal RNA
Source: RNAcentral